Molecule: long non-coding RNA, 508 nt
Organism: Cyprinodon tularosa
Lineage: Eukaryota; Metazoa; Chordata; Actinopteri; Cyprinodontiformes; Cyprinodontidae
Exons: 3
Source: RefSeq, a predicted model, not a curated record
GAACUGCGAUGUACUGUCCAUGGUGUGCCCCGCCUCUCGCCCAUUGACUGCUGAAUAUAGGCACCAACACCCCUCGCGACCCCACUCGGGAUAAGCGUGCUAGAAAAUGGAUGGAUUUUGAACAGAAGGCAGAACAAGCCAGUAUCAGGAUGCCUUCCUGAUCCACUGGAUAAGCCUGGACCUUCUACCCCGCCUGGAAGGAAUUAUUUGAGUCCCACUGAGCAAGGGGAAACCUCUACCAGAUCCGUUCAAGUCUGCUUCAGAAAAACCCGGUGACAGUCCGCUCCAUUGCUCCUCUGGACCCAACGCUAGUCUGCCUGUCCGCCCUCCAACAAGUUCAUUCAUAUCUGGACAAAACUCCACAAACUGGAUCCUAAGGAAAACCAAGAGCCCCUCAAAUAGUUUCCGGUUCCGGUUCACCAGUCCGCUGAGGUUCAACUGAGUUUACCCUGCUGUAUAACCUCUCACUCUGUUUUUGUUAACCUACAAAUAAACCAGUUAACUUUUA